AGCACUUAAUUCUUUUGUUUUUGUCUAACAUGGACAGAAGCUUUGAAUUCUGUGCUAAUAAUAAAAUGACUCUUUUGCAACCCACAACUGAUAAUGAGUUGUGCUACUUGUAAGUGUGGACAGUA
Dermochelys coriacea (leatherback sea turtle) is the source of this 125-nucleotide small nucleolar RNA. RefSeq annotates it as small nucleolar RNA SNORA40. The transcript has a single exon. Lineage: Eukaryota; Metazoa; Chordata; Testudines; Dermochelyidae. The record is from RefSeq and is a predicted model, not a curated record.